Molecule: ribosomal RNA, 403 nt
Filed under: uncultured bacterium
Lineage: Bacteria
Description: bacterial SSU rRNA
Rfam family: Bacterial small subunit ribosomal RNA
Source: RNAcentral
GACGAACGCUGGCGGCGUGCCUAACACAUGCAAGUCGAGCGGGGUCCAUCCAGUGGCAACACUGGGGAAGACCUAGCGGCGAACGGGUGAGUAACACGUGAGAAACCUGCCCUGAAGUCUGGGAUAACCCGAGGAAACUCGAGCUAAUACCGGAUGCCCCCACCGAGUCGCAUGGCUUGGUGAGGAAAGAUUCAUCGCUUCAGGAGGGUCUCGCGGCCUAUCAGCUAGUUGGCGGGGUAACGGCCCACCAAGGCAUCGACGGGUAGCUGGUCUGAGAGGACGAUCAGCCACACUGGGACUGAGACACGGCCCAGACUCCUACGGGAGGCAGCAGUGGGGAAUAUUGCGCAAUGGGCGAAAGCCUGACGCAGCAACGCCGCGCGCGGGAUGACGGCCUCGGUGU